GACAGAGGUGCCAAGCGUUAGGCGGAAUCACUGGGCUUAAAGCGUGUGUAGGCGGGCGAUCAAGUACCUUGUGAAAUCCCACGGCUCAACCGUGGAACUGCUGGGUAUACUGGUUGUCUUGAGCCAGCUAGGGGCGAGCGGAACAGACGGUGGAGCGGUGAAAUGCGCAGAUAUCAGGAGGAACACCGGUGGCGAAGGCGGGUCUCUGGGCCGAUACUGACGCUGAGGAGCGAAAGCGUGGGGGAGCGAACAGG
RNAcentral lists this ribosomal RNA (254 nucleotides) under uncultured bacterium. RNAcentral describes it as "partial 16S ribosomal RNA". It matches the Rfam family "Bacterial small subunit ribosomal RNA", at positions 524 to 776 of the family's 1533-position model. The record is from RNAcentral.